UUAAGCGACUAAGCGUACACGGUGGAUGCCCUGGCAGUCAGAGGCGAUGAAGGACGUGCUAAUCUGCGAUAAGCGUCGGUGAGGUGAUAUGAACCGUUAUAACCGGCGAUUUCCGAAUGGGGAAACCCAGUGUGUUUCGACACACUAUCAUUAACUGAAUCCAUAGGUUAAUGAGGCGAACCGGGGGAACUGAAACAUCUAAGUACCCCGAGGAAAAGAAAUCAACCGAGAUUCCCCCAGUAGCGGCGAGCGAACGGGGAGGAGCCCAGAGCCUGAAUCAGUGUGUGUGUUAGUGGAAGCGUCUGGAAAGGCGCGCGAUACAGGGUGACAGCCCCGUACACAAAAAUGCACAUAUUGUGAGCUCGAUGAGUAGGGCGGGACACGUGGUAUCCUGUCUGAAUAUGGGGGGACCAUCCUCCAAGGCUAAAUACUCCUGACUGACCGAUAGUGAACCAGUACCGUGAGGGAAAGGCGAAAAGAACCCCGGCGAGGGGAGUGAAAAAGAACCUGAAACCGUGUACGUACAAGCAGUGGGAGCCUCUUAAUGGGGUGACUGCGUACCUUUUGUAUAAUGGGUCAGCGACUUAUAUUCUGUAGCAAGGUUAACCGAAUAGGGGAGCCGAAGGGAAACCGAGUCUUAACUGGGCGUUAAGUUGCAGGGUAUAGACCCGAAACCCGGUGAUCUAGCCAUGGGCAGGUUGAAGGUUGGGUAACACUAACUGGAGGACCGAACCGACUAAUGUUGAAAAAUUAGCGGAUGACUUGUGGCUGGGGGUGAAAGGCCAAUCAAACCGGGAGAUAGCUGGUUCUCCCCGAAAGCUAUUUAGGUAGCGCCUCGUGAAUUCAUCUCCGGGGGUAGAGCACUGUUUCGGCAAGGGGGUCAUCCCGACUUACCAACCCGAUGCAAACUGCGAAUACCGGAGAAUGUUAUCACGGGAGACACACGGCGGGUGCUAACGUCCGUCGUGAAGAGGGAAACAACCCAGACCGCCAGCUAAGGUCCCAAAGUCAUGGUUAAGUGGGAAACGAUGUGGGAAGGCCCAGACAGCCAGGAUGUUGGCUUAGAAGCAGCCAUCAUUUAAAGAAAGCGUAAUAGCUCACUGGUCGAGUCGGCCUGCGCGGAAGAUGUAACGGGGCUAAACCAUGCACCGAAGCUGCGGCAGCGACACUAUGUGUUGUUGGGUAGGGGAGCGUUCUGUAAGCCUGUGAAGGUGUACUGUGAGGUAUGCUGGAGGUAUCAGAAGUGCGAAUGCUGACAUAAGUAACGAUAAAGCGGGUGAAAAGCCCGCUCGCCGGAAGACCAAGGGUUCCUGUCCAACGUUAAUCGGGGCAGGGUGAGUCGACCCCUAAGGCGAGGCCGAAAGGCGUAGUCGAUGGGAAACAGGUUAAUAUUCCUGUACUUGGUGUUACUGCGAAGGGGGGACGGAGAAGGCUAUGUUGGCCGGGCGACGGUUGUCCCGGUUUAAGCGUGUAGGCUGGUUUUCCAGGCAAAUCCGGAAAAUCAAGGCUGAGGCGUGAUGACGAGGCACUACGGUGCUGAAGCGACAAAUGCCCUGCUUCCAGGAAAAGCCUCUAAGCAUCAGGUAACAUCAAAUCGUACCCCAAACCGACACAGGUGGUCAGGUAGAGAAUACCAAGGCGCUUGAGAGAACUCGGGUGAAGGAACUAGGCAAAAUGGUGCCGUAACUUCGGGAGAAGGCACGCUGAUAUGUAGGUGAAGCGACUUGCUCGUGGAGCUGAAAUCAGUCGAAGAUACCAGCUGGCUGCAACUGUUUAUUAAAAACACAGCACUGUGCAAACACGAAAGUGGACGUAUACGGUGUGACGCCUGCCCGGUGCCGGAAGGUUAAUUGAUGGGGUUAGCGGUAACGCGAAGCUCUUGAUCGAAGCCCCGGUAAACGGCGGCCGUAACUAUAACGGUCCUAAGGUAGCGAAAUUCCUUGUCGGGUAAGUUCCGACCUGCACGAAUGGCGUAAUGAUGGCCAGGCUGUCUCCACCCGAGACUCAGUGAAAUUGAACUCGCUGUGAAGAUGCAGUGUACCCGCGGCAAGACGGAAAGACCCCGUGAACCUUUACUAUAGCUUGACACUGAACAUUGAGCCUUGAUGUGUAGGAUAGGUGGGAGGCUUUGAAGUGUGGACGCCAGUCUGCAUGGAGCCGACCUUGAAAUACCACCCUUUAAUGUUUGAUGUUCUAACGUGGGCCCCUUACCGGGGUUGCGGACAGUGUCUGGUGGGUAGUUUGACUGGGGCGGUCUCCUCCUAAAGAGUAACGGAGGAGCACGAAGGUUGGCUAAUCCUGGUCGGACAUCAGGAGGUUAGUGCAAUGGCAUAAGCCAGCUUGACUGCGAGCGUGACGGCGCGAGCAGGUGCGAAAGCAGGUCAUAGUGAUCCGGUGGUUCUGAAUGGAAGGGCCAUCGCUCAACGGAUAAAAGGUACUCCGGGGAUAACAGGCUGAUACCGCCCAAGAGUUCAUAUCGACGGCGGUGUUUGGCACCUCGAUGUCGGCUCAUCACAUCCUGGGGCUGAAGUAGGUCCCAAGGGUAUGGCUGUUCGCCAUUUAAAGUGGUACGCGAGCUGGGUUUAGAACGUCGUGAGACAGUUCGGUCCCUAUCUGCCGUGGGCGCUGGAGAACUGAGGGGAGCUGCUCCUAGUACGAGAGGACCGGAGUGGACGCAUCACUGGUGUUCGGGUUGUCAUGCCAAUGGCACUGCCCGGUAGCUAAAUGCGGAAGAGAUAAGUGCUGAAAGCAUCUAAGCACGAAACUUGCCCCGAGAUGAGUUCUCCCUGACUCCUUGAGAGUCCUGAAGGAACGUUGAAGACGACGACGUUGAUAGGCCGGGUGUGUAAGCGCAGCGAUGCGUUGAGCUAACCGGUACUAAUGAACCGUGAGGCUUAACCUU
Molecule: ribosomal RNA, 2902 nt
Filed under: Escherichia coli HVH 205 (4-3094677)
Lineage: Bacteria; Pseudomonadati; Pseudomonadota; Gammaproteobacteria; Enterobacterales; Enterobacteriaceae
Description: bacterial LSU rRNA
Rfam family: Bacterial large subunit ribosomal RNA
Source: RNAcentral